Molecule: small nucleolar RNA, 64 nt
Filed under: Sapajus apella (tufted capuchin)
Lineage: Eukaryota; Metazoa; Chordata; Mammalia; Primates; Cebidae
Also listed under: 1 other name
Description: Cebus apella (Tufted capuchin) Small nucleolar RNA SNORD42
Rfam family: Small nucleolar RNA SNORD42
About the family: snoRNA U42 is found in intron 3 of the ribosomal protein L23a (RPL23a) gene in humans and is also present in mice. U42 is a member of the C/D class of snoRNA which contain C (UGAUGA) and D (CUGA) box motifs.
Source: Rfam by way of RNAcentral
AAGCUAAUGAUGGAAAAAUCAUUGUUGGAAAGGAAUGACAUGAACAAAGGAACCACUGAAGUAC